UCCGUAGGGUGCAAGCGUUGUCCGGAUUUAUUGGGCGUAAAGAGCGUGUAGUCUGCCAGAUAGGUCAGCUGUGAAAACUCGAGGCUCAACCUCGAGAUGUCGGCUGAAACCAUCUGGCUAGAGUCCGGAAGAGGAGAAUGGAAUUCCCGGUGUAGCGGUGAAAUGCGCAGAUAUCGGGAAGAACACCCGUGGCGAAGGCGGUUCUCUGGGACGGUACUGACGCUGAGACGCGAAAGCGUGGGGAGCGAACAGG
Molecule: ribosomal RNA, 253 nt
Filed under: uncultured bacterium
Lineage: Bacteria
Description: partial 16S ribosomal RNA
Rfam family: Bacterial small subunit ribosomal RNA
Source: RNAcentral